Molecule: ribosomal RNA, 471 nt
Filed under: uncultured bacterium
Lineage: Bacteria
Description: partial 16S ribosomal RNA
Rfam family: Bacterial small subunit ribosomal RNA
Source: RNAcentral
GACGAACGCUGGCGGCGUGCCUAAUACAUGCAAGUUGAGCGCUGAAGGCUGGUACUUGUACCCACUGGAUGAGCAGCGAACGGGUGAGUAACGCGUGGGGAAUCUGCCUUUGAGCGGGGGACAACAUUUGGAAACGAAUGCUAAUACCGCAUAAAAACUUUAAACACAAGUUUUAAGUUUGAAAGAUGCAGUUGCAUCACUCAAAGAUGAUCCCGCGUUGUAUUAGCUAGUUGGUGAGGUAAAGGCUCACCAAGGCGAUGAUAAAUAGCUGACCUGAGAGGAUGAUCAGCCACAUUGGGACUGAGACACGGCCCAAACUCCUACGGGAGGCAGCAGUGGGGAAGAUUGGAAAAUGGGGGAAACCCUGAGACAGCCAUGCCGCGUGAGUGAUGAAGGCGCUAGGGUUGUAAAGCUCUUUUGUGCGGGAAGAGAAUGACGGUACCGCAAGAAGAAGCCACGGCUAACUUCGUG